CUGAACCCUUGUGUGGCCAUGUAUACAAGACCCUAGUUAGGGAACAUAUGUUAAUACUACCUUUGAACAGUCAGGAUUCAGCCGCCAUUGAACUUAUAUCACUGGGCAGGAGUGAAAACAGAGUUCAUCUGCAGCUGAUUUGGCAGGGACCAGGCCUUCUGCAAUGACUUGAAAAUGUUCAGAAAUUAAGUUUCAUAGUCCACAGAAGUCCUGGAUCCCGGUAUGAGAGUCAAAACCUGCUAUGAAUUGGGUCAAAGUCCAGGAGUCACAAUCUCAGCAAUGGUAAAGAUCCAUGUAUAAGAGCUGCAAUCACACUUGAAGUCUGCAUUCCAGUAGAAGAGCCAAAGCACUACAAGUCUGCUGAAUCACAAUUCAUAUGUCACCAAACAACCUGUGGGUCAGAUUUAUGUAUGAGAGUAAAAAAUUUAAGCUUCAACUGCUUAUGUGUGUGUGAGAUUUAGUACCUCAUUCAUAGGUUCUGCUUAUGUGUGUGAAUGACAAUUGUGUCAGCUAGCAUGUGCAUCCAAGAGUCAAAAUAGUAAAUGGUUG
RNAcentral lists this long non-coding RNA (549 nucleotides) under Macaca mulatta (Rhesus monkey). RNAcentral's name for it is "lncRNA (ENSMMUG00000063386.1)". The record is from RNAcentral. Lineage: Eukaryota; Metazoa; Chordata; Mammalia; Primates; Cercopithecidae.